RNAcentral lists this ribosomal RNA (468 nucleotides) under uncultured bacterium. Its description in RNAcentral is "partial 16S ribosomal RNA". It matches the Rfam family "Bacterial small subunit ribosomal RNA", at positions 28 to 507 of the family's 1533-position model. The record is from RNAcentral.
GACGAACGCUGGCGGCGUGCUUAACACAUGCAAGUCGAACGGAAAGGCCCUGCUUUUGUGGGGUUCUCGAGUGGCGAACGGGUGAGUAACACGUGAGUAACCUGCCCUUUACUUUGUGAUAACUUCAGGAAACUGGUGCUAAUACCUGAUAGGAGCUCCUGCUGCAUGGUGGUGGUUGGAAAUUUUCGGCGGUUGGGGAUGGACUCGCGGCUUAUCAGCUUGUUGGUGGGGUAGUGGCUUACCAAGGCUUUGACGGGUAGCCGGCCUGAGAGGGUGACCGGGGACAUGGGGACUGAGAUACGGACCAGAAGCCAACGGGAGGCAGGAGUGGGGAAUAUUGCACAAUGGGGGGAAGCCUGAUGCAGAAACGCGGCGUGCGGGAUGACGGCCUUCGGGUUGUAAACCGCUUUAGCCUGUGACGAAGCGUGAGUGACGGUAAUGGGUAAAGAAGCACCGGCUAACUACGUG